GAUGAGUGUGCAAGGCUCCGAGGGACCAUGUGUCUCCAUUUCCUGAGGACAACCUUGGUUUAUCUGUCAUCUCAGCAUCCUGUCUGAAUAGAACCUAUUAGAAAUCACACUCCAGUCGAGCAAUGGUCUCUCCAUAGCCUCAGUGGCUGCACAGAUGUUGCUGCCGUGCCGGGGAACCCCACUCUGGAGUGGCAUGGAGCACCUGCCUCCCUCGUAGAGUGAGCCACCAGCCCAGUGGAAAUCCAUGUGCUGCUUGUUUCUUCAAUUUCUUGUGGCUGAACCAAUGACGAUGACGGUUUCAGGAAAAGAAGAAGAUAGAAAGUCCUUCCAAGCCAUGACUGAGAUUUCUCAGGGACUUUAUUUGCUGGAUCUUCUACUGUCAUCAACUUUUUCUACUUCUUCAUGAAAAAGUAGUUCAUAAAUAAGAAGUGGGGAAGACCAUGCAUUAUACUACAGAGAUACAAAGGUUUUUAUAUAUUGAAGAAAAGGCAGAUAUAAGCACACUGACAAGUAAGCCUUUGGAUGGAGUGGUGAGGCCAGGAGCACCACGGGCUACUUCUCGAGAAGGUGAGCAUGACUGAUUAGGGUGUUUUUCCAACGGUAGUAACUUGACAUCUAAACAGGUCCUUUGGUGAUGAUAUUCCUAGUUCUUCUUUACUGUGUGCUUUUCAUUCAAAGGCAUUUAAGUACGAGAUGGAGGUGCAGCC
Acinonyx jubatus (cheetah) is the source of this 707-nucleotide long non-coding RNA. RefSeq lists it as uncharacterized. The transcript has 5 exons. Lineage: Eukaryota; Metazoa; Chordata; Mammalia; Carnivora; Felidae. The record is from RefSeq and is a predicted model, not a curated record.